RNAcentral lists this unclassified non-coding RNA (386 nucleotides) under Hevea brasiliensis (rubber tree). Lineage: Eukaryota; Viridiplantae; Streptophyta; Magnoliopsida; Malpighiales; Euphorbiaceae. The record is from RNAcentral.
GGCCCAAGCUCAUGACAAUGGAAGAGUACAAGCCAAUCCUAAUACAGAUUCUUAGAUUGUCUCAGAAAUUCUUAGAUAGACUCAGUAAUAAUAAAUAUCAGAAACAUAUAUGAAACAAAAGCAAUGCCAGAUAAAUUUAAGUAGCCAUAAUUGCUGAAGCUUUUCAUUACAAAAAUGAAAUAAAAACCAUUAAAAAGAUUGAAGCUUCAUGUUCUUAUCUUCGUCAUUAUCAUCUACUUCUUCUUCUUCCUCUUCUCCUUGGCUACUUUCAUCAAGAUCGACACUCAUUGGUAGUCCAGUCUCAUAUUUUCAGGUAGUCUACCCUUUUAUUUUCAACUAUGCAGCAAGAACAGAAGAGAAAGGUGCCGCUAAUUUAAGGGUCUAUA